ACCAAGCCUGCAACCCAAGAUCCCAGCUUCUAGUCAUCUGGUGUAUUUGUUUUUGCUGCACCCUCCUGACCUGUCCCAAAGGCCAAAACUAAGUCAGAAACAGAGCUAGAAGUCAGUUACAAGUUGAGUCAACAAUGCGGUGAUGCCAUUACCCCUGGGCCUGUAACUGAGGGUACUUUUUGUAGUGAACGUGGGGGAGGGAAAAUCACUCUGAACACCUGUGCUGUGCAUACACUCACAACUCAUGGAGCAAAGUUCCUCUUCCACCAUUUCAUAGUCAGUCAGUCAACGAAUAUUUCCUGGGGGCUACUCCAUGCCAAGGACAGUGCUAGGCCUUGGAGAUUACACUAAACCAGACAGAGCCUCUCCGCAGAAUUACAUUCUGGUUGGGGAAGACAGAUAAUAAACAAGUCAACUAAUGAAUACACGAGACAGUGUAAAGGUGAUGGAGACUACUAUCAAGAUCCCCAUCCUAAUCAUAAGCAUUUCUAGGACCAUGACAAAUGUGGGAGAGCAGUGGAAAUGCUGAUUCAAGGGGCCUUCCAAUAAACACAAAUGGACUGAAUCCAAAGUGAAUGCAACACCAUCACAGCUUCUUAAGGGAAAACAGCAAGGGGAUGUUGGAAUUAAUUUGAGGCCUCUGACAUUGAGAGAGUUGGAAGCAAUACAAAACUCAAAAAGUCAAUCUGCUUUGGGAAUGUUAAAAAGAAACACUUGUUUGGAAAGAAUUUUUAAGUGUGCAAAACGAAGACUAUUUUCAGUGGAAUCUGCUCAGUGAGCCUGACCACACACUGGGGGAUGAGAGAUGUAUCGCUGAUAGUAAAAACACAGUAUAAAAGAUGAAAAAUGGUGCACCUGUAUAGGGCACUUACCAUGAAUGGAGCUUGCAGGACCAGAAUUUGCUCUGGGUGAGUCGGUGAGUGAGUGGGGAGUGAAUGUGACGGCCUAGUAAUGAUUGUUCACUACUGUAGACUUUAGAAACACCUACACUUAGGCAACCCUAGAUUUAUAAAAA
This 1015-nucleotide long non-coding RNA is filed under the name Homo sapiens (human). Its description in RNAcentral is "HSALNT0201784". The record is from RNAcentral. Lineage: Eukaryota; Metazoa; Chordata; Mammalia; Primates; Hominidae.